Molecule: non-coding RNA, 499 nt
Filed under: Pongo abelii (Sumatran orangutan)
Lineage: Eukaryota; Metazoa; Chordata; Mammalia; Primates; Hominidae
Source: RNAcentral
AUUCAGAGCCCCAGCCUGUUCAUAAAAAAAAUCAGAUGAAUUUUGUCUGCGAAACAUUCUGCAAAAAUAUCUGACCAUCCUAGCUACUCUGGAGGCUGAGGCAGGAGGAUCACUUGAGCCCAGGACUUUGAGGCCACUGUAAGCUAUGAUCAUGCCACUGCACUCCAGCUCAGGAAACAAACAGUAUUUGUUCAACAAACAAAAGAAAAUAAAAGAAUGGUAGACAAGGAAAGCAGUGGAACAGCUAUGCAAGAAGCCUACUUUCUCUUCAUGUAACACGUUGGCCUAAGAGAUCUAUAGAGCUUUUUAAAAACAGAGAAGGCAGCAAGAUUUAAAAUAAUAAAACCAGCAAUAGGUAUUUUUUAAAGUGAGAGAAACUAUCAGAGAGCUGAAGCAGAAAAGCAAGUUAAAAAUAAAGGAAACAGAAAAGGAACUGAUAUAGCUGAUUUGAUACUAGAAAGAUCACCCAGGAGGCAGCACGGAGAAUGGAUUGGAGAAG